Molecule: transfer RNA, 72 nt
Filed under: Collybiopsis luxurians FD-317 M1
Lineage: Eukaryota; Fungi; Basidiomycota; Agaricomycetes; Agaricales; Omphalotaceae
Description: tRNA-Ile (TAT) (tRNA-Ile-TAT-3-1)
Rfam family: tRNA
About the family: Transfer RNA (tRNA) molecules are approximately 80 nucleotides in length. Their secondary structure includes four short double-helical elements and three loops (D, anti-codon, and T loops).
Source: RNAcentral
GCCCGCUUAGCUCAGAGGUAGAGCUUUGUACUUAUGAUGCAAAGGUCGGCAGUUCGAUCCUGCCAGUGGGCA